CUAGACAGGCAGGCCUUUAUCCUACAAACAAUUAAUUAACAGCUAAUCACCCAAUCCAGCGGGCUUCUGUCUGGCUUCUCUUUAUAUAAAAGAGA
This 95-nucleotide transfer RNA is filed under the name Zonosaurus sp. TMT-2004a. Its description in RNAcentral is "tRNA-Asn". The record is from RNAcentral. Lineage: Eukaryota; Metazoa; Chordata; Lepidosauria; Squamata; Gerrhosauridae.